RNAcentral lists this ribosomal RNA (263 nucleotides) under uncultured Methanosaeta sp. RNAcentral describes it as "partial 16S ribosomal RNA". It matches the Rfam family "Archaeal small subunit ribosomal RNA", at positions 1075 to 1338 of the family's 1478-position model. Lineage: Archaea; Methanobacteriati; Methanobacteriota; Methanomicrobia; Methanotrichales; Methanotrichaceae. The record is from RNAcentral.
CUCUCGGAGUGACGGGUACACUGUGGGGACCGCCGCUGCUAAAGCGGAGGAAGGAAUGGGCAACGGUAGGUCAGUAUGCCCCGAAUAUCCCGGGCUACACGCGAGCUACAAUGGUUGGUACAAUGGGUAUCUACCCCGAAAGGGGACGGGAAUCUCCUAAAACCAAUCUUAGUUCGGAUUGAGGGCUGCAACUCGCCCUCAUGAAGCUGGAAUCCGUAGUAAUCGCGUUUCAACAGAACGCGGUGAAUACGUCCCUGCUCCUU